This 301-nucleotide ribosomal RNA is filed under the name uncultured bacterium. RNAcentral's name for it is "partial 16S ribosomal RNA". It matches the Rfam family "Bacterial small subunit ribosomal RNA", at positions 509 to 808 of the family's 1533-position model. The record is from RNAcentral.
CAGAGCCACGGGAAUACGGAGGGUGCAAGCGUUAUCCGGAUUUAUUGGGUUUAAAGGGUCCGUAGGCGGAUCUGUAAGUCAGUGGUGAAAUCUCACAGCUUAACUGUGAAACUGCCAUUGAUACUGCAGGUCUUGAGUAAAUUUGAAGUGGCUGGAAUAAGUAGUGUAGCGGUGAAAUGCAUAGAUAUUACUUAGAACACCAAUUGCGAAGGCAGGUCACUAAGAUUUAACUGACGCUGAUGGACGAAAGCGUGGGGAGCGAACAGGAUUAGAUACCCCAGUAGUCCCUGUCUCUUAUACC